This is a long non-coding RNA of Oncorhynchus tshawytscha (Chinook salmon), 4737 nucleotides long. Lineage: Eukaryota; Metazoa; Chordata; Actinopteri; Salmoniformes; Salmonidae. The record is from Ensembl.
GUUUUGGUUUGAUUUGGGCUGGUUUAGGCCACUUUGGGUUAGGAGGGUUUGGGCUGGCUUAGGCCACUUUGGGUUAGGAGGGUUUGGGCUGGCUUAGGCCACUUUGGGUUAGGAGGGUUUGGGCUGAUUUAGGCCACUUUGGUCUGGAUUAGGAGGGUUUGGGUUGAGGGUGUUUGAGGGAUGGGGAGGGUAGGACUGGUGUUGGCCAGAUAAGGGCUGAGGAAUGAGUUAGUAGUGGUGUAUUACAGGGAUGGGUAGGGUCAGAGGUCAGAGUCUUAGUAAUGGUGUAUUACAGGGAUGGGUAGGGUCAGGGGUCAGAGUUAGUGUUGUUGACCACAUGCAGUUCCUUGAUGUGGGAUUUAAGCUGUGUCCACUACCUGUUAGAUAGAUGGGUGUUGGAGGUAGCUUACAUGUUCUCUCAGGACUACCUGUCGUGAUGUUCCUGGAGAUGGGACUUAAGCUGUGUCCACUACCUGUUAGAUAGAUGGGUGUUGGAGGUAGCUUACAUGUUCUCUCAGGACUACCUGUCGUGAUGUUCCUGGAGAUGGGACUUAACCUGUGUCCACUACCUGUUAGAUAGAUGUGAUUUAAAAUGCGUCCACUACCUGUUAGAUAGAUGGAAUUUCAAAUUAGAACAUAACAGAAUAUUCGACAAUAUCAGUUGACAGAACAGUUACGGUCUGCUAAUUUAGCUCCACUCACCUGGAGAACAGUUACGGUCUGCUAAUUUAGCUCCACUCACCUGGAGAACAGUUACGGUCUGCUAAUUUAGCUCCACUCACCUGGAGAACAGUUACAGUCUGCUAAUUUAGCUCCACUCACCUGGAGAACAGUUACGGUCUGCUAAUUUAGUUCUACUCGCCAGGAGAACAGUUACGGUCUGCUAAUUUAGCUCUACUCACCUGGAGAACAGUUACGGUCUGCUAAUUUAGCUCCACUCACCAGUCCAUCUAUACCGGGCCUGUCAUCAUACAGUCCAUCUAUACCAAGCCUGUCCAUUCACAGUGCCUCCCAUGCUAGACGUGUUACUGUCUGAAUAGAGAAUGACCCAGUCCUCUGCUAGAUGUGUUACUGUCUGAAUAGAGAAUGAUCCCUAGCCAGUAAGUUAGUUUCUUCAGGGUCCAGGCCUGUUCCAGUCAGAUACACACCCAGUCAAUCAGUCUAGAAAGGAAGACAGACUACAUCACAAUCCUCCUGACCCAUGUUACUAUUCAUUCUCUUAGCUUACAAUCCCUCCCUCUCCUUAACUUUAUCAAGUGCAAUUGUACUCUGUUUUUAUAUGUAUUCUAACUACCUUCACAGAACUAUUUUAAGGACUAGCUAAUUAAAUAAGGACCGCGUUCUCAGUCUCAACAUUGGAGUGAGUUGAGAUUUGCUUAACGCUUAGUACCAUGCUGACCUAAUCCACAGCACUGGAGACUAACGCUCUGUGUCUGUCUCAGUAUGACUGGAGUCUCUUCUGACAAGUCCUCUUGUCUGCUUAGAGCAAAAAUGGUUUUCAUUCGCAAUACCACAGAGACCUGUCUUAGUUGAGUCAGAGACACAGAGCCAUAACUGAGGGUGAUUGAUAUCCUACAGAAUAAGACUGAAGAUGCCAUAACUACAGGUCUUAAUGGGCGGUGUUUGGAAACAGACACUGAUUGGUCUACGGUGUAGCUAUCAGUCCUUAAAGGGUUCUAGGGGGUUAUUAUUGAAGAUGUUUGUGAUAUUAACUUAGUAGCACAUAAGAUGCCACACUAUCUGCAUGUGUUAGGAUGUCCUUUUAAUAUAUAUAUCUAUGAUAUAUUCUGAUACUAUUGCCUUUCACCAAACUGGUAUAACCAAGAGAAAAUUAUCACAUUUAUUUUACAAAACUGGUGAGAAUUGAAGUACCUCAGACACCACUAGAGUAUUUUUGUAAUGCUGUGAAUUGAACAGAGAAAAAGCUAAGAGUCAAUCUUUUUCUCACACAAUUGAAUAAAUAAGCAAAACAGAGAAAUGUUGUGAGACGUGAUGUUUCUCUGGUCCAGCAGUGCCUUGGCCCGUUACUAUACGGCUAAGAAAUAAUCCUGUUCAGAGCUCCAGCCCCCUCUAGUCUACAUUCUACUGCUACUGUACAUGACGGGGCUGGAGGCUGAGGAACCGUCCUGAAACGGUAUUUGGUGAAAGGAACCGUCCUGAAACAGCCUGGGUCUAUUUGGACCAUCAUGCCACUCCUUGCCGGUUUGGCAUGACAAGGAGUUGAGAUGAUGACAAACAGAUCUGGGACCAGCUAUCUUAAACAGUGUUGGUGAAAGGACUGAAUCAAUGGAAUUGUUCUUUAAGCAAUGUGUUACUCAGCCAAAGGGGGCAGUAAGCCCCAGGGGAAGGGGAGGUCACUCGAGGGCUCACACCGUUUCAACUAGUAAAUACAUGAUACAAAGCCACAAUGAUUCUGAAUGGAAACCGGGGUCCUCGUGGUUCUGGUUUCAAAGCUGUUGUCAAAAAUGAGGAUGAUGAGUUAGUGGUUAAAGUAGAGCAGCCUACCCUGUCCUAAUGGUUAACUUAGUGGUUAAAGUAGAGUAGCCUACCCUGUCCUAGUGGUUAACUUAGUGGUUAAAGUAGAGCAGCCUACCCUGUCCUAGUGGUUAAAGUAGAGCAGCUUCCCUGUACUAGUGGUUAACUUAGUGGUUAAAGUAGAGCAGCCUACCCUGUCCUAAUGGUUAACUUAGUGGUUAAAGUAGAGUAGCCUACCCUGUCCUAGUGGUUAACUUAGUGGUUAAAGUAGAGCAGCCUACCCUGUCCUAGUGGUUAAAGUAGAGCAGCUUCCCUGUACUAGUGGUUAACUUAGUGGUUAAAGUAGAGCAGCCUACCCUGUCCUAGUGGUUAACUUAGUGGUUAAAGUAGAGCAGCCUACCCUGUCCUAAUGGUUAACUUAGUGGUUAAAGUAGAGCAGCCUACCCUGUCCUAAUGGUUAACUUAGUGGUUAAAGUAGAGCAGCCUACCCUGUCCUAAUGGUUAACUUAGUGGUUAAAGUAGAGCAGCCUACCCUGUCCUAGUGGUUAACUUAGUGGUUAAAGUAGAGCAGCCUACCCUGUCCUAAUGGUUAACUUAGUGGUUAAAGUAGAGCCGUCUACCCUGUCCUAUUUAAGGUAUUGGUCAGCUGAUUGGUUAGGUGACCCACCUUAUUGCUCAGUGGGCCCCAGAGAAAAAGCCCUCUAGAGGUUCUCCCCUGUAACUGAGAGCUAAAUCUAUGCUUCUGAUGUAACUCUUCUUACUCAACCCUCUGGCUAUGUUGUAUUCAUGCUGUAUGUGGAGGCUAGCGGCUUGUAGCUGAAGUUAUAGGACAAAAACAAAGUUUAGUGUUCAUUGGUUUUUUAUGAGGGAAAUGUGAUGAGUACGUUCUAAACAAAAUUAAAUGUUCUGAAGAUUGGCUCCAAGGUUCCAGAGAGCCAACAUUUGGAAUUUAUGCACUUUGAUGAAAACUGAUAUUUGAAUUCAUUGUAUUUUUAUGUUUUGUAAUGGAGUAAUUAUCUCACCUGUAGUCAAAGUGAGCUUUCACAUGCCUACAGUAACCUACCUAUACAGUACCCUGACUUCAACAGUCUUUAGGUGUUAAAAGGAAUCACAAGUUUCAGUGGGAAUAAUAACUCAGGUAUAUUGGUCUAUAGGAAGGUUAUAGGUCAGGGCCCAGAUUCACACAACCUUCUUAAGAAGAUAUUUCUUCUUAACUGCCAUUUAUUCCUUAACUAUAGACUACAGAUGAAAGUUCAGCCAAGUUGGUAUUCCUCAAAAAGCUUCUUGGACAUGUUCUUGUGUUAUUUCAUGUUUCUCUUCAAGUAAAAAUAUAAGAAGAAAUUAGAUUUUUGAAAAUAUAGUUUGUUCUUGGACAUUUUCUUAAUUCCAAGAUGGCUAAACCCUCGUCUUAAACUCAGGGCAGUGAGAUAAUAAGCUCAUUAAAUCAAUUGAACAUAUUUAAUUCACUCAAACUUCAUCUGAAAGUUUCAGUAUUGAUUAUUUGAAACCCCAAAACAUGUUUUAGAACAGUCAUCUCAGUAUGAAAUAUGCUAACAUGAUUGUCAUUGCUAGCUAGAUACUAAAGCUAGCUAAAACAGUUUGCCUAGUGACAAUCUUUGACAAAGUUUGUGACAAAGUUUGUAAGAAAAUUAUAAAAUCUUAACAUAUUGUUGAAGAAUUGCACUUGUGAACUAUCUUAUGAACUUAUAAUUUUUUUCUUAAGAAGGUUCUUAAGUUUUUGCAUAAGAAUGUAAUGUAAAUCUGGGCCCAGGUUUCCACACCUGUAACAGUGGGUUACACCCUGUCAAACACUACUGAUGGUUCAGUAGUGGUUAGUCUGCCAAUCCUAAUCAGAAGCUGAUAGCCCAUAGUUUUUCCCCCAUACAAUCUUAUGACAACUACAUUUAUAUGUUUGGGAAAGUAUUGUUUUAAAUUGGAGGUAGUUUAUGGCAUGAACAUGGUGGUAAACUAAAGACUCUUUUCACCUCUACAACCAAGUUAUUCCAUCUGUAACGUAACUAUAUUAAUACAAUUGAUUAAUAUAUUGCCUCAAAAAAGGAUUUCCGAUGUGGAAUCCAAUAAGCUGAAAUAAGGAAUUUGGUGAAGUGAACUUAGUGCCAAAAUGUUUUUGAGGAUGAUUAAUUGAAUCGCAUUUGCACAAAACUACUGUAACUUUAGUUUUUUCCUGUGACUGAUGCUUUUAUAAUCUUAUUGUGUUAUUUAUUGCACCAAGUAAUCCAUUAAAAUAUUGAUAUGGUUAAA